GACGAACGCUGGCGGCGUGCUUAACACAUGCAAGUCGAGCGAUGAAGCGCCUUCGGGUGUGAAUUAGCGGCGAACGGGUGAGGAACACGUGAGAAAUCUGCCUUCAACUCUGGGAUAACUCCGUGAAAACGGGGCUAAUACCGGAUAUGAAACCUGCGGGCAUCCGCGGGUUUGGAAAGUUUUUCGGUUGAAGAUGAUCUCGCGGCCUAUCAGCUUGUUGGUGAGGUAAUGGCUCACCAAGGCGACGACGGGUAGCCGGCCUGAGAGGGCGACCGGCCACACUGGGACUGAGACACGGCCCAGACUCCUACGGGAGGCAGCAGUGGGGAAUAUUGGGCAAUGGAGGAAACUCUGACCCAGCGACGCCGCGUGCGGGAUGAAGGCCUUCGGGUUGUAAACCGCUUUCAGCAGGGAAGAAGCGAAAGUGACGGUACCUGCAGAAGAAGCACCCGCUAACUAUGUGCCAGCAGCCGCCGUAA
This 479-nucleotide ribosomal RNA is filed under the name uncultured bacterium. Its description in RNAcentral is "partial 16S ribosomal RNA". It matches the Rfam family "Bacterial small subunit ribosomal RNA", at positions 28 to 523 of the family's 1533-position model. The record is from RNAcentral.